Molecule: ribosomal RNA, 484 nt
Filed under: uncultured bacterium
Lineage: Bacteria
Description: partial 16S ribosomal RNA
Rfam family: Bacterial small subunit ribosomal RNA
Source: RNAcentral
AGUGAACGCUGGCGGCGUGCUUAACACAUGCAAGUCGAACGAGAACGGAUUAUAGCUUGCUAUAAUUGUCAGCUAAGUGGCGCACGGGUGAGUAAUGUAUAGGUAAUAUGCCUCUUACUAAGGGAUAACAAAUGGAAACGUUUGCUAAUACCUUAUACUCCUUAUUAACAUAAGUUAAUAAGGGAAAGAAUUAUUGGUAAGAGAUUAGCCUGUAUUGUAUCAGUUAGUUGGUGGGGUAAUGGCUUACCAAGACUAUGACACAUAACUGGUUUGAGAGGAUGAUCAGUCACACUGGAACUGAGACACGGUCCAGACUCCUACGGGAGGCAGCAGUGGGGAAUAUUGCACAAUGGACGAAAGUCUGAUGCAGCAACGCCGCGUGGAGGAUGACACAUUUCGGUGCGUAAACUCCUUUUAUAUGAGAAGGUAAUGACGGUAUUAUAUGAAUAAGCACCGGCUAACUCCGUGCCAGCCGCCGCCGUAA